RNAcentral lists this ribosomal RNA (465 nucleotides) under uncultured bacterium. RNAcentral's name for it is "partial 16S ribosomal RNA". It matches the Rfam family "Bacterial small subunit ribosomal RNA", at positions 338 to 795 of the family's 1533-position model. The record is from RNAcentral.
CCUACGGGUGGCAGCAGUAGGGAAUCUUCGGCAAUGGGCGAAAGCCUGACCGAGCAACGCCGCGUGAAUGAAGAAGGCCUUCGGGUUGUAAAAUGCUGUUAUAAGGGAAGAAAGGUGAUAGGAGGAAAUGACGAUAAAUUGACGGUACCUUAUGAGAAAGCCACGGCUAACUACGUGCCAGCAGCAGCGGUAAUACGUAGGUGGCAAUCGUUAUCCGGAAUUAUUGGGCGUAAAGGGGGCGGAGGUGGUUAAUUAAGUCUGAUGUGAAAGCCCAGGGCUUAACCGUGGAGGGUCAUUGGAAACUGGUUGACUUGAGUGCAGAAGAGGGAGGUGGAAUUCCAUGUGUAGCUGUGAAAUGCGUAGAGAUAUGAAGGAACACCGGUGGCGAAGGCGGCUUCCUAGUCUGCAACUGACACUGAGGCGCGAAAGCGUGGGGAGCAAACAGGAUUAGAUACCCCAGUAGUC